This 107-nucleotide small RNA is filed under the name Marmota monax (woodchuck). Lineage: Eukaryota; Metazoa; Chordata; Mammalia; Rodentia; Sciuridae. The record is from RNAcentral.
GUGGGGUGUGGUGGCCCACGCCUGUCAUCCCAGUGGCUCGGGAGGCUGAGGCAGGAGGAUCGCGAGUUCAAAGCCAGACUCAGCAGCUCAGUGAGACCCUGUCUCUA